GUGGGGGCGAGGCUGGC
Molecule: microRNA, 17 nt
Filed under: Macrophomina phaseolina MS6
Lineage: Eukaryota; Fungi; Ascomycota; Dothideomycetes; Botryosphaeriales; Botryosphaeriaceae
Description: miR-1275
Source: RNAcentral